This 517-nucleotide ribosomal RNA is filed under the name Pseudoalteromonas sp. RNAcentral describes it as "bacterial SSU rRNA". It matches the Rfam family "Bacterial small subunit ribosomal RNA", at positions 394 to 904 of the family's 1533-position model. The record is from RNAcentral. Lineage: Bacteria; Pseudomonadati; Pseudomonadota; Gammaproteobacteria; Alteromonadales; Pseudoalteromonadaceae.
AUGCCGCGUGUGUGAAGAAGGCCUUCGGGUUGUAAAGCACUUUCAGUAAGGAGGAAAGGUUAAGUGUUAAUAGCACUUAGCUGUGACGUUACUUACAGAAGAAGCACCGGCUAACUCCGUGCCAGCAGCCGCGGUAAUACGGAGGGUGCGAGCGUUAAUCGGAAUUACUGGGCGUAAAGCGUACGCAGGCGGUUUGUUAAGCGAGAUGUGAAAGCCCCGGGCUCAACCUGGGAACUGCAUUUCGAACUGGCAAACUAGAGUGUGAUAGAGGGUGGUAGAAUUUCAGGUGUAGCGGUGAAAUGCGUAGAGAUCUGAAGGAAUACCGAUGGCGAAGGCAGCCACCUGGGUCAACACUGACGCUCAUGUACGAAAGCGUGGGGAGCAAACAGGAUUAGAUACCCUGGUAGUCCACGCCGUAAACGAUGUCUACUAGAAGCUCGACUCUUCGGAGUUGUUUUUCAAAGCUAACGCAUUAAGUAGACCGCCUGGGGAGUACGGCCGCAAGGUUAAAACUCAA